RNAcentral lists this ribosomal RNA (404 nucleotides) under uncultured soil bacterium. Its description in RNAcentral is "bacterial SSU rRNA". It matches the Rfam family "Bacterial small subunit ribosomal RNA", at positions 26 to 419 of the family's 1533-position model. The record is from RNAcentral.
AGAGUGAACGCUGGCGGUAGGCCUAACACAUGCAAGUCGAACGGCAGCACAGUGGUAGCAAUACCAUGGGUGGCGAGUGGCGGACGGGUGAGGAAUACAUCGGAAUCUACCUUUUCGUGGGGGAUAACGUAGGGAAACUUACGCUAAUACCGCAUACGCCCUUCGGGGGAAAGCCGGGGAUCGCAAGACCUGGCGCGGAUAGAUGAGCCGAUGUCGGAUUAGCUAGUUGGUGAGGUAACUGGCUCACCAAGGCGACGAUCCGUAGCUGGUCUGAGAGGAUGAUCAGCCACACUGGAACUGAGACACGGUCCAGACUCCUACGGGAGGCAGCGAGUGGGGAAUAGUUGGACAAGUGGGCGCAAGCCUGAUCCGAGCCAUACCGCGGUGGGUGAAGGAAGGCCGUU